RNAcentral lists this ribosomal RNA (382 nucleotides) under Lithobates palmipes (Amazon River frog). RNAcentral describes it as "partial 16S ribosomal RNA". It matches the Rfam family "Bacterial large subunit ribosomal RNA", at positions 1967 to 2515 of the family's 2925-position model. Lineage: Eukaryota; Metazoa; Chordata; Amphibia; Anura; Ranidae. The record is from RNAcentral.
AUUUGUUCUUUAAAUGGGGACUUGUAUCAACGGCACCACGAGGGCCAUACUGUCUCCUUUCUCUAGUCAGUGAAACUGAUCUCCCCGUGAAGAAGCGGGGAUUUAACUAUUAGACGAGAAGACCCCAUGGAGCUUAAAACUCACCAUAUAAUUCUGUACCUCAUACCACCUUAAUUCAGAAUCCUAUAUGCUAGUUUUAGGUUGGGGGGACCUCGGAGUAUAAUUUAACCUCCAUAACAAAUGGGCUAAUACCCUUAUCCAAGAUAAACACCUCUAAGAAUUAUUAAAUUAAUGUUUAAUGACCCGAUAUAUUCGAUCAAUGAACCAAGUUACCCUGGGGAUAACAGCGCAAUCUACUUCAAGAGUCCAUAUCGACAAGUAG